UUACGACCAUAUCAGAUUGAAACACCGGUUCCCGUACAACCACCGAAGUUAAGCAACCUCGAUCCUGGCCAGUACCGAGAUGGGUAAUCGCUUGGGAAUAACAGA
This is a non-coding RNA of Acanthosepion pharaonis, 105 nucleotides long. The record is from the annotation of a GenBank genome assembly. NCBI's taxonomy places the organism in Eukaryota, Metazoa, Mollusca, Cephalopoda, Sepiida, Sepiidae.